AAACAACUUAUAAAAGAACAUGGUUUACCACGUAAUACGACAGGUGGCGGAUCAGUGUACACGAGAUGGGGGAGAACUAAGUGUGGUGCCUCUUCUAAACUUCUUUAUGAAGGUUAUACUGCUGGAUCCUACUAUGGUCAGAAAGGUGGGG
Molecule: long non-coding RNA, 151 nt
Organism: Lingula anatina
Lineage: Eukaryota; Metazoa; Brachiopoda; Lingulata; Lingulida; Lingulidae
Source: RefSeq, a predicted model, not a curated record